UACGAAGGGGGCUAGCGUUGCUCGGAAUCACUGGGCGUAAAGCGCACGUAGGCGGACUCUUAAGUCAGGGGUGAAAUCCUGGAGCUCAACUCCAGAACUGCCUUUGAUACUGGGAGUCUUGAGUUCGGGAGAGGUGAGUGGAACUGCGAGUGUAGAGGUGAAAUUCGUAGAUAUUCGCAAGAACACCAGUGGCGAAGGCGGCUCACUGGCCCGGUACUGACGCUGAGGUGCGAAAGCGUGGGGAGCAACGGGG
This 253-nucleotide ribosomal RNA is filed under the name uncultured bacterium. RNAcentral describes it as "partial 16S ribosomal RNA". It matches the Rfam family "Bacterial small subunit ribosomal RNA", at positions 524 to 776 of the family's 1533-position model. The record is from RNAcentral.